RNAcentral lists this long non-coding RNA (539 nucleotides) under Capra hircus (goat). RNAcentral describes it as "lncRNA (ENSCHIG00000002755.1)". The record is from RNAcentral. Lineage: Eukaryota; Metazoa; Chordata; Mammalia; Artiodactyla; Bovidae.
GAAACCCCAUUUUGCCAACGGCACCCAGAGCUCAAAAACGCAACCCAAGCAGUCCAAGUGAGCCGCAUCCCCUGUCUCCACCCAGCGGAGCACGGAGGAGCUGGCCGUGUAAAAAUCCAUGCUUGAGGAUUUGACGAACUCUUGGAAAGUAUUUUCUGCUUCCUGUGGAAGCAUUUUGCUGAUGCUUGAAGAAGUGGCAGCCAGUUGGCGAGAGAUCAGAAUGGUCGACACUGACUUCUUCAGCAACUUCUCAUGCAGUUGUAAGAGGAUCAGCUUUGAUGACUGCUCUCCAUUGAUCGUUGUCAACUUCUAAUGACUAGCCACUAUGCUCCUCAACUUCAAGGCGCUCGUCCCCUUUGCAAAACUUCUUGAACCACCAUUGCACAGUACUUCAUUAGUAGUUCCUGAGCCAAAUGCAUUGUUGAUGUUGCAAGCUGUCUCUGCUAUUUUAUGACCCAUUUUGAACUCGAACAAAAGAAUUGGGAAUUUGGGUUUUGUCUCACAUCAUUUCUAUAGUCUAAAAUAAAUAUAAAAUAAAC